UGCAAGGCUACAGAAUUGAGCAGAGGC
RNAcentral lists this non-coding RNA (27 nucleotides) under Homo sapiens (human). Lineage: Eukaryota; Metazoa; Chordata; Mammalia; Primates; Hominidae. The record is from RNAcentral.